AACAGCUCAAAUUUGAAAUCUGGCUCUUUAGGGCCCGAGUUGUAAUUUGUAGAGGAUGCUUUUGGCGCGGUGCCUUCCGAGUUCCCUGGAACGGGACGCCUUAGAGGGUGAGAGCCCCGUACGGUUGGACACCAAGCCUCUGUAAAGCUCCUUCGACGAGUCGAGUAGUUUGGGAAUGCUGCUCUAAAUGGGAGGUAAAUUUCUUCUAAAGCUAAAUAUUGGCCAGAGACCGAUAGCGCACAAGUAGAGUGAUCGAAAGAUGAAAAGCACUUUGAAAAGAGGGUUAAAUAGCACGUGAAAUUGUUGAAAGGGAAGCGUUUGCGACCAGACCUUUUCCUAGCGGAUCAUCCGGUGUUCUUCGCCGGUGCACUUCGCUAGGUCGAGGCCAGCAUCGGUUUCUGCAGGGGGAUAAAAGCCCAGGGAACGUAGCUCUUUCGGGAGUGUUAUAGCCCUCCGCAUAAUACCCUUGCGGGGACCGAGGACCGCGCUUUUUGCAAGGAUGCUGGCGUAAUGGUCGUCAACGACCCGUCUUGAAACACGGACCAAGGAGUCGAACAUUUAUGCGAGUGUUUGGGUGUUAAACCCUCACGCGUAAUGAAAGUGAACGGAGGUGAGAGCCCUUACGGGUGCAUCAUCGACCGAUCCUGAUGUCUUCGGAUGGAUUUGAGUAAGAGCAUAACUGUUCGGACCCGAAAGAUGGUGAACUAUGCGUGGAUAGGGUGAAGCCAGAGGAAACUCUGGUGGAGGCUCGCAGCGGUUCUGACGUGCAAAUCGAUCGUCAAAUCUGCGCAU
This 792-nucleotide ribosomal RNA is filed under the name Nemania diffusa. RNAcentral describes it as "partial large subunit ribosomal RNA". It matches the Rfam family "Eukaryotic large subunit ribosomal RNA", at positions 103 to 918 of the family's 3401-position model. Lineage: Eukaryota; Fungi; Ascomycota; Sordariomycetes; Xylariales; Xylariaceae. The record is from RNAcentral.